This is a small nucleolar RNA of Nicotiana attenuata, 86 nucleotides long. Lineage: Eukaryota; Viridiplantae; Streptophyta; Magnoliopsida; Solanales; Solanaceae. The record is from Rfam.
UGAGAUGAUUAUCGCACUGUGCCUGAGCAGUUUAAUAAACGGUAGUUUUUUAUGGACAAUGCAGCCUUGAAAGCUAUGUCUAAUUA